RNAcentral lists this ribosomal RNA (527 nucleotides) under uncultured Acidobacteriota bacterium. RNAcentral's name for it is "bacterial SSU rRNA". It matches the Rfam family "Bacterial small subunit ribosomal RNA", at positions 13 to 519 of the family's 1533-position model. Lineage: Bacteria; Pseudomonadati; Acidobacteriota. The record is from RNAcentral.
UUGAUCCUGGCUCAGAAUCAACGCUGGCGGCGUGCCUAACACAUGCAAGUCGAACGCGAAAGUCCCGAAAGGGAUUAGUAGAGUGGCAAACGGGUGAGUUACACGUGGGUGACCUGCCUUCGAGUGGGGGAUAACGUCCCGAAAGGGACUCUAAUACCGCAUAACAUCCUGCCUUUGAAGAGGCGGAGAUCAAAGCUGGUGAUCGCAAGACCUAGCGCUGGAAGAGGGGCCCGCGCCUGAUUAGCUAGUUGGUGAGGUAACGGCUCACCAAGGCAACGAUCAGUAUCCGGCCUGAGAGGUCGGACGGACACACUGGGACUGAGACACGGCCCAGACUCCUACGGGAGGCUGCAGUGGGGAAUUGUUCGCAAUGGGCGCAAGCCUGACGACGCAACGCCGUGUGGAGGAUGAAGACCUUCGGGUCGUAAACUCCUUUCGAUCGAGACGAAUAGCCUUCGGGUGAACAAUCCGGAGGUCUGACGGUACCGAGAGAAGAAGCUCCGGCUAACUCCGUGCCAGCAGCCGCU